Oncorhynchus keta (chum salmon) is the source of this 1236-nucleotide long non-coding RNA. RefSeq lists it as uncharacterized. Lineage: Eukaryota; Metazoa; Chordata; Actinopteri; Salmoniformes; Salmonidae. The record is from RefSeq and is a predicted model, not a curated record. The transcript is spliced from 3 exons.
AGAGAGAGAGAGAGAGAGAGAGAGAGAGAGAGAGAGAGAGAGAGAGGGAGAGAGAGACAGAGAGAGAAAGGGAGAGAGAGACAGAGAGAGAAAGGGAGAGAGAGAGACAGAGAGAGAAAGGGAGAGAGAGAGACAGAGAGAGACAUUAUCAAUGGACAGGUAAUGUUAUGCUGAAGAGAUUAAACGGAUAGAUCAUUCUGGAACUAGUCAGAGAGGAAUUGAUUGGCUUUGUAGGAGUGUGUCAGAAACAAUGGAGAUGUUUAGAAGUUAAUGUAGAGGUAAGAGUAUCUAGUGUAGAGGUAAGAGGCGCUAGAGGAGCUAAUGUAGAGGUAAGAGGAGCUAAUGUAGAGGUAAGAGUAUCUAGUGUAGAGGUAGGUGGAGCUAGAGGAGCUAAUGUAGAGGUAAGAGUAUCUAAUGUAGAGGUAAGAGUAUCUAAUUUAGAGGUAAGAGGAGCUAAUGUAGAGGUACGAGUAUCUAAUGUAGUGGUAAGAGUAUCUAAUGUAGAGGUAGUCCUGGAGUCGCCUCUUCACUGUUGACGUUGAGACUGGUGUUUUGAGGGUACUAUUUAAUGAAGCUGUCAGUUGAGGACUUGUGAGGCGUCUGUUUCUCAAACUAGACACUCUAAUGUACUUGUCCUCUUUCUCAGUUGUGCACCGGGGCCUCCCACUCCUUUCUAUUCUGGUUAGAGCCAGUUUGAGCUGCUCUAUGAAGGGAAUAGUACACAGCGUUGUACGAGAUCUUCAGUUUCUUGGCAAUUUCUCAAAUGGAAUGGCCUUAAUUUCUCCGAACAAUAAUAGACUGACGAGUUUGAGAAGAAGGUUCUUUGUUUCUGGCCAUUUGAGCCUGUAAUCAAACCCACAAAUGCUGAUGCUCAAGAUACUCAACUAGUCUAAAGAAGGACAGUUUUAUUGCUUCUUUAGUCAGAUCCACAGUUUUCAGCUGUGCUAACAUAAUUGCAAAAGGGUUUUCUAAUGAUAAAUUAGCCUUUUAAAUGAUAAACUUGGAUUAGCUAACACAAUGUGCCAUUGGAAUGAUGAUAAUGAUAAUGGGCCUCUGAUAAUGGGCCUCUGAUAAUGGGCCUCUGUACGCCUAUAUAGAUAUUCCAUUAAAAGUAAAUCUGCCGUUUCCAGCUACAAUCGUAAUUUACAUCAUUAACAAUUUCUACACUGUAUUUCUGAUCAAUUUGAUGUUAUUUUAAUGGAAUUUUUUCUUUUUUUUUUCAAAAACAAGGAGAUU